RNAcentral lists this long non-coding RNA (3418 nucleotides) under Nicotiana tabacum (common tobacco). RNAcentral's name for it is "long non-coding RNA (NTAB_LNC002568)". Lineage: Eukaryota; Viridiplantae; Streptophyta; Magnoliopsida; Solanales; Solanaceae. The record is from RNAcentral.
AAUGUACUAAAGCAGAUUAUUAAAGCAAUUUUUAUUUUGAGUUCUAGAUAUUAAUUUCCUAAGAAAAACCACAAAAGAAUUUUUUGAACAUCAUAGAGUUAGUAUUCUAAAGAAAACAUCUAACAGAAAUAUAAAACGCAAAUUUUUUUUUUUUUUAUGGAUUUUUGAGUUUUAAAACAUUUUUUCAAAUACAAAAUAGAAAGUACAAUAACAAAAGACUCGACAUUACUGUACAAAACUAGAAAAAAAAGAUGACAUAAAAUGAAAAACGGACUCAAAACAUAACAAAAUAAAAAAAAUAUCUUUAAGCUAUUCCUGAAUGAGCGAUCCUAACUAGAUGGUCCCGGGGUGUCUGUCGUGCUCAAACUCCGAUAAAUAGACCCACACCUGUAUUAGAAAAUUAAGAUCAAAUAAAGUUAAGGACCUAAACUCUUUUUGGAUUUUCUUUUACCUCUUUUUUUUCGAAAAAUGAUGAAAAAGUGCAAAAUCCUUUUUUUUAUUGAAUUUUUCAUGUUUUUUUUUUUGUCUUUUUCUUAACAAAACGUGACAGAAAAAAUAAUUGUGCCCUACUUGCUUUAUUUUCACAAUUCACCCUCUUUUCUUCCUCAUUUACCCUCAGUCAUCAUUGGUCCACCAAAUGACCCUUUUACCCUGGAAGAAAUGUAGUAUGUAGCACAUAGGAUGCAUCAGGAUGGUCUUUUAUUUUUGGGUACACCUGUCAUAGACGGACCAACCCUUGUAUUGAGUCCUCAAAGUCAAAUGCACGUGAUUCAAACAAAUGUUCCUACUAGGGAUCCGGCAUGAGGCUGUGUUUUUCUAGGUUUUAAAACCUGGAGUUGUGUUCUUGACCUGGCUUACCCGAGCGGACAACUCGAGCCAAAGAGGGGGCAACGUACCGGGAGCACUGAAGUUUAUCCAGCCUUGUUGCUGGCCUAGCCUUGUUCUAUUUGGUAUAACUCCUACAGAAAAAGCGGGUCGCCCGAACAUGUGCACCAUUUUUAGAAGACUUAGAGAGGUGGCAUAAGAAGACAGUUAUGUACAAUUCAAAUAAUAUCAAAGUGGUAAACAGACAACAGUUAGCACAAAACGUUCACAAAAUACAGUAAUAUCAACAAUAAAUAAAGCUAAGUAAAAAUAAUAUUAACAAGCUCGAAUUCUUGAACCUGAAUUAGAGAUUCUGGGUAGUUGUCUCCUACAGAGUCGCCAGAGUUGUCACACCUCCUCUUUAUCACCCCGAGAGGAGGUACUAGGGAGUUUUUUCCAAUUUAAGUGACAAUCGAAACGGGAUCAUUUAUAUUAAAUUCAGAGUCGCCACUUGGGAUAAUUUAUGGUAUCCCAAGUCACAGGUUUAAAAUUCCGAAUUAAGGAAGUUGACUCUAUUUACGGUCCACGAACACAGAAAUUCGGGUAAGGAAUUUUGUUAACCUAAGAGAAGGUGUUAGGCAUUCCCGAGUUCCGUGGUUCUAGCACGGUCGCUUUGAUCAUACUUGGCUUAUUAAAAUUGUUUAACUACUGAUUUUAGAACCUAUGUGCAUUUGCCUCUUUUAAUUAAGAAAUUAUCUUUAAACAAGUCACGCGUACGUUUACCCAUUUGUUUGGCGCGUCAAAAAUCAUGUCAUGUGAACGUGUCCACAAGUAAUAACGCUUUAUUAUUUUUAUGAAAGUUUGGCCAAAGUUGCGCGAACGCAUGCUCCGGUUUUGUUUUUAGAAUCAAAAUUACGUCACGCGAACGUGUACGCAACUACGAUGGUAUUUUAGAUGUGCCUAAAGCAAACUACGAACAUUUGUCAUUUUUAUAUCUAGGUUAUGAAAUUAAUACGAGGGUCAUGUAUGAUUAAAUCAUGGAUGGCAUACUUCGGACUAUAUAAACUAAAUUUAAAUUAGCGACCUAUUAAAACAAUUUUAUUAUUAAGAAAGUUUGAUCGAUGUUGCGCGAACGCAUACUCCGAAUUAGUUUGUAGAAUCUUAAUUAUGUCACGCGAACGUGUACACAAUCACAAAAGAACUUAUUAAUCAUUAUUAAGAUUGUUGCGCCUAAUUUAGUCAUUAGAAACAUUUCAAUUCAAUCAUCCACACAAACAUAUAAAAUAGAUAACCAAGCAAAGAAGAACAAAGAUAAUCCAAAGUAAGUGAAAUACGAAAGUUACGAACAAUAAAAUAAGAGAACAUAUGACCAGAACUAACAUGUAUUUUGAAGGAGAAGGAUAUUCUUCUUUUUUUUUUUUUUAAACUAAUCACUACGAAAGAACCUUUAAAAUACGAUUAAGGAAGAGCAAUGUAAUGCUGGGUAUUCCAUUUUGAGAGCUUUAAACUAUUUGAUAAGAGCAAAUUCACAAUUGAGAAAUAAAACCAAGUUUAACUCCAUGAACGAAACAGACUCCAUGGCACUUAAUUUGAACUCAAGAUUUCACUGAUUGUCCAUCAACUUUCAAGCAAAGCACAAUUUACUCAUCACUCUUAAUGAGGCCAAAUAAACUUUUUGAAUACAUUCUUCACAUGGAAUUAGACUAGACAAGUAUAGGAAGGAAUAAAAUCUUACCCAAACACAUGCUCCUAAAUAGUCGAGCAACUGGUUCUCAUCACAACAAUACUACGACAAGAAGGGAUCCAAACAAUUUGAACAGUAAUUCAUUCGGGAACGAACAAUCAGCAACGAAUUUUAGCACACCCCAACUACGAAUUUAAAAUUGAUUGAUUGAAUUUUAAGAAAAGACAGGAGUAAAAUCUGACCUCAGAUCUGAAAUCCAAUACGAAAAUUGAAACAAUUUCGAGCAAAGAAUCGCAACCAAGACUCAACGAAGGACCUCGACUCUCCAACGAUGACUGAAGUUGACAACUACUGCUGCUGGAAUCUCAUAUUAGAUCCCAAAAUCGGCACAAAUCGAAGAUGGCGCCAGCAACCUCGAUGAAUCUCGACCAACAAUUGAUGAGAUAUCACCGAAAAUAAAAUCCCACGAACAAAAGAUUGACUGAAGGGCUGAAAUUCGUGAAGCUGUUAUUUGGUGGUUAUUUCAGAUGCGUUCAUGGUGUUCAACAACAGCUGAUUGCUGGCUGGAAUUGGAGGAGGUCAUCACCGGCAAGAUGAAGAAGAAGAAAGUGGUCAGCGGCGGCGAUGGUUGGUGUCUGGUCGCUGCUGCCCUUCGUUGAAGAAGAUGGGUUUCCUUGGUUUAUUGUUGAGGAAGAAGCAUAACGGAUCCUUAAGGGUCUUAGGUUUAGGUUACUUUUUCCAUGAAGGAGAUGAAACCCAAGGUUUUUGGACUCUCAAGCAGAUGAACGAAAAUCUGAUGGGAUCGUCCUUUUUCUCAAAAAUGGCGGAUUGGAUUUUUAGGCAUCUAGGUCUUGUGCUAGCUCUAGGUUUUGGAUUUUAGGUAUUUUAGGCUCAUCUGCUGGUUAUAUAGAAAGAGUUUUUAGGUUAAGG